Molecule: ribosomal RNA, 253 nt
Filed under: uncultured bacterium
Lineage: Bacteria
Description: partial 16S ribosomal RNA
Rfam family: Bacterial small subunit ribosomal RNA
Source: RNAcentral
UACGAAGGGUGCAAACGUUGUUCGGAAUUACUGGGCGUAAAGCGCGCGUAGGCGGACCUGCAAGUCGGGGGUGAAAGCCCGAGGCUCAACCUCGGAACUGCCUUCGAUACUGCGGGUCUCGAGUCCGGGAGAGGUGAGUGGAAUUCCUAGUGUAGAGGUGAAAUUCGUAGAUAUUAGGAAGAACACCAGUGGCGAAGGCGGCUCACUGGCCCGGUACUGACGCUGAGGCGCGAAAGCGUGGGGAGCAAACAGG